GCAUUGGUGGUUCAUUGAAAGAAUUCUCCCCUUCCAUGCAAGAGAUCUGGGUUCGAUUCCCAGCCAAUGCU
Molecule: transfer RNA, 71 nt
Filed under: Loxodonta africana (African savanna elephant)
Lineage: Eukaryota; Metazoa; Chordata; Mammalia; Proboscidea; Elephantidae
Rfam family: tRNA
About the family: Transfer RNA (tRNA) molecules are approximately 80 nucleotides in length. Their secondary structure includes four short double-helical elements and three loops (D, anti-codon, and T loops).
Source: Rfam by way of RNAcentral